RNAcentral lists this ribosomal RNA (253 nucleotides) under uncultured bacterium. RNAcentral describes it as "partial 16S ribosomal RNA". It matches the Rfam family "Bacterial small subunit ribosomal RNA", at positions 524 to 776 of the family's 1533-position model. The record is from RNAcentral.
UACGUAGGAGGCGAGCGUUGUCCGGAAUUACUGGGCGUAAAGAGCUCGUAGGCGGCCUGUUGCGUCCGCUGUGAAAGCCCGGGGCUUAACCCCGGGUCGGCAGUGGAUACGGGCAGGCUAGAGGUAGGUAGGGGAGAAUGGAAUUCCCGGUGUAGCGGUGAAAUGCGCAGAUAUCGGGAGGAACACCGGUGGCGAAGGCGGUUCUCUGGGCCUUACCUGACGCUGAGGAGCGAAAGCGUGGGGAGCGAACAGG